Molecule: transfer RNA, 86 nt
Filed under: Shewanella gelidii
Lineage: Bacteria; Pseudomonadati; Pseudomonadota; Gammaproteobacteria; Alteromonadales; Shewanellaceae
Description: tRNA-Leu
Rfam family: tRNA
About the family: Transfer RNA (tRNA) molecules are approximately 80 nucleotides in length. Their secondary structure includes four short double-helical elements and three loops (D, anti-codon, and T loops).
Source: RNAcentral
GCCCGAGUGGUGGAAUCGGUAGACACAAGGGAUUUAAAAUCCCUCGCUGAAUAAGCGUGACGGUUCAAGUCCGUCCUCGGGUACCA